GGCUCAGGAUGAACGCUGGCGGCGUGCUUAACACAUGCAAGUCGAACGAAGCACUCAUGACAGAUUCUUCGGAUGAUGGAUUGAUUGACUGAGUGGCGGACGGGUGAGUAACGCGUGGGUAACCUGCCUCAUACAGGGGGAUAACAGUUAGAAAUGACUGCUAAUACCGCAUAAGCGCACAGGACCGCAUGGUCUGGUGUGAAAAACUCCGGUGGUAUACGAUGGACCCGCGUCUGAUUAGCUAGUUGGUGAGGUAACGGCCCACCAAGGCGACGAUCAGUAGCCGGCCUGAGAGGGUGAACGGCCACAUUGGGACUGAGACACGGCCCAAACUCCUACGGGAGGCAGCAGUGGGGAAUAUUGGACAAUGGGGGAAACCCUGAUCCAGCGACGCCGCGUGAGUGAAGAAGUAUUUCGGUAUGUAAAGCUCUAUCAGCAGGGAAGAAAAUGACGGUACCUGACUAAGAAGCUCCGGCUAAAUACGUG
This 486-nucleotide ribosomal RNA is filed under the name uncultured bacterium. Its description in RNAcentral is "bacterial SSU rRNA". It matches the Rfam family "Bacterial small subunit ribosomal RNA", at positions 21 to 507 of the family's 1533-position model. The record is from RNAcentral.